RNAcentral lists this non-coding RNA (176 nucleotides) under Synergistaceae bacterium. RNAcentral's name for it is "6S RNA". It matches the Rfam family "6S / SsrS RNA". From Rfam's summary of the family: E. coli 6S RNA was the first non coding RNA to be sequenced, but its function was unknown until recently. It consists of 184 nucleotides that fold into an extended hairpin structure with a large single-stranded internal bulge. The record is from RNAcentral. Lineage: Bacteria; Thermotogati; Synergistota; Synergistia; Synergistales; Synergistaceae.
UUUUCCCUGCGGUGUGCGUGAUCGAGAUAAUGUCUUGAGCCAACGCUCGAUUCCAUGAGGCGCAACGUCCUUUUCGGGGAUGAUGACUUUAGCGGUCGACUGAACCAAGAGAAGGCGAUCCUCAACUUAAUGGGAACGGGUCAAGACUUUCAAGACACGACAUUCGCGGGGAAUUU